Molecule: RNA transcript, 3318 nt
Organism: Bubalus bubalis (water buffalo)
Lineage: Eukaryota; Metazoa; Chordata; Mammalia; Artiodactyla; Bovidae
Gene name: RNA-binding protein cabeza
Exons: 4
Source: RefSeq, a predicted model, not a curated record
UGGCUGAAGAGCUGAAUGGCGUGGAGCGGCGAGGGGAGGGACUGGGCCGCGGCCGCCUCGGCGGCGGAGGGAGGAGCGCGGCUGCGGGCGGGCGGCGAGCGAGGCGCUCAAAGUCAGCCUCGCAGACAUUGCAGCAGAGCCCCGAACUCGGGAGGCGGCGGCGGCGGCGGAGGCGGAGGAGGAGGCGGCGGCGGCGGCCGAGGCGGAGGGACGACCCGGCCCCGCGCUCGCCCGCGCGCCCGCCCGUGGCCUCGCGUCGGCCGCUGCGCCCGGCAGCGCUGCCGAUCGGAGGGAAGAGCUCGCCGGGGCGCUGAGGGAGGACGGGGCAGCAGGGCGCCUUCGCGGAGUGAGCCGGCCGGAGCCCCGGCGCUCGGAGCCGCGGCGGCCUCUGAGAGUGCUUGGAUUGUGAGCGAUUUAAGAACUCUGUUCUCAGGACCCAUUACUUUAACACUGGGGAGAAACACAUCCAGAAGAUUGAAGGAGGAGCGGGAAUCUGAAGACUCCAAAUGACAUCAGAGUUACUUUUCAGCAGCCUUCUCAGUUUCCUUUCUCAGAAAGCAGAGACUCCAGCCUUGGAGAUGGACGUAUCUGUACCCGAAGGCAGCAGAAGAAGAACAGAGAGUCAAGCACAACCCAGAGUUCCAGUGCCAAAUGAGUCAGUAUGUGAAUUAUCCGCAGUGAAGACUCACCUCAAGACAAGCCCAAAGACCCCCCUGCAGGUAGGAAAGUCGAGUGCUGUGACGUGUGGCCAAGCCCCACACCCCAUUUCUGAGCUGCUGCAGCCACAGUCAAGGUCAGUGGGAGGCCAGUGGGCACUAAAUACCUUUGCUGCCUCUCCCAACAAUCCUAACUCAGCUGACAAACGAAGACCUUGCUCCCAGAGGCAGUGGAAGCCUGAUGGAUCCUCUACAGCUGCCUAUUGUCUCUGGCAAUAUGACCUCUUUCGGCAUGAUUGUUUGAAUUGAUGAUAACAUUUUUUUUUUAAGUUCUUACUGAACUUUUUACUCUUAAAAAAAAAGAGCAAAAAUGAACAAGGGCACACAAGAGGUCUCCCAAAAAGUCCUUGUUCUCUGUCUUCUUUCUCUAUACAUUUAGAGAAAAAAAAAUAAAUCUGCAUUUAUCUGUCUGAUAUUUUUCCUUUGGUUGGAGGCACCCCGCUGGCAAGCAGAAGUCAUCUUUGGUGAUUAAGUAGAAUAUCUACCCAAGUGCCAGGAGCUCCAGAAACCUUAAUGGCACUUUGGCAAGCAUGGCAGCAGUAAUUGUACAGCAGGUACAAUGGAUGGGGGAUGUUGGGAGUGCAAAGAGCUGUAAUCUUCUCCCUUCUUUCCUCCAGCAGCUCUGAAAAAAGUGGACUAGGAUCUAAAUUAGGUGUUCUUUUAGAUUACAACUUGUCACACCUAGUGCAAGUGACGCCUUCAGGCUGCCAGAUUCCAGCUGGAAAUUUGUUGGUGUUUAGAGAUGGCAGUUGGCUCAUUGAUUCAUUGAAUUGGUCAUCCAAAUAACAUGGAUCAUGCCCAUCAAAAAGAUCUGUCAGUCUUUGGACACAGGGAUCGUUGGGUGAUCCCUGAGAUAUAAAAGAGUAAGCUUGGGAUUAUCACUGCUAAAUGACUGUUCAUUACGGACUUCUAGGCAUGGGGCAUGCCCUAGAUGUUUUCCAACCUUUACCUUUGAUAGAGUAUCGAAAACUAGAUUUGAUGUUCCUUGUGAAGGAUUAAAGAAACUGGUUCAUCAUACUCCCAAGAGGAAAAUUAGGAGAUUCCCCUACAAAUUUAUAGUAGCCAUAUAGAUGGACCUUCUUCUCAUCUCCCUCCCAUGGCCUUGAGUUGAGGGAAAUGGAGUUGGGCUAAAGUUGUGCUAAUUUAUGUACCGUGUGCAUGCUAAGUCACUUUAGUUGUGUCUGACUCUUUCUGACCCCUGGACUGUAGCCCUCCAGGCUCCUCUGUCCAUGGGAUUCUCCCAGGCAAGAAUACUGGAGCAGGUUGCCAUGCCCUUCUCCAAGGGAUCUUCCUGACCCAGAGAUCGAACCUGUGUCUUUUAUACCUCCUGCAUUGGCAAGUGGGUUCUUUACCACUAGCACCACCUACAAAUGCAAGGCAUGAUAUGGAUAAAAGAUUAAUUGAACAUGGGCCAUCCUUGACCUAAAGGGAGAAAAACCUUUUCACAUGUAAUUGCAAUAUAAGGAUAAUUCUGGUAACAGUGGUAUGAGAAAAUGGACAGUCUAUGGUAAGUUGUUUAUAAGAUCCCAGAAAGAAAAGUUAUUUCCUGAAUAUAAAAAGAUAGAUAUAAACAUAAGUUAAAGAUAAUAAUAUAGAGUUUUUAAAAAUGCAGGCACUGCUUUGUAAAUGUUAGAAAACAAUUGAGACAAGAAUUUUAAAAAUUGAGCAAGCAAGAUGGAUUAAGCUAAUAUAGUAAAUAGUAAUUCCUUAGACUCUUGAAAAUAGUAGUGUUUGAAGUUUGCUUUUUUUUAAAUUAAAGAUUCCAGGAAACUAGAGGCUUUUGGGUAAUGUUUAAGUCAUUGGGAAUUGAUCUGACAUUUAAUGGCAGAACGUUGACUGUCUAAGGUCAAUGGGUCAGGGCACCUCCAUUACCUAACCUUAGCUGGUCUCUCUUUCCAUGACAUAUCAGAGUAUUGAUCUGGGUUAUUAUGUGAGGUUGGGUGUGGAGUUCUCUAUCUUUAUUUUAAACUUCUUAAAAAACAGAGUCUAACUAAUAUAUCCUGGCAUGAUUUGCAUUUUUAUGUGAUCCCACUGAAGGGGUGCUCUGUCUCUUAUUUGUCCUUCAACUUUGCCUGUACUCCCUGGACAAAACUUGAGUCUUCUUCUGACACUCUCUACCUAAUGUCCAUUCAGUGGGGGUCUUUCUUAACAUUCUGUAGGCUUUUAUUUUAUGUUUUGCCUUCAAACGUCACUGAUCCUCCAAACUUCAGUGAUGCUACAAGAAGUGUAGUCAGUUUUGAUGUUCACUGAGCUGUGAUACUGACUCGAAUAAAAUUUGCUAUCUAUAUUGAUAAACCUGCCUUUACAUUUCAGACCCAUUUUCAACAAAAGUGUCCUAGCUUAACUGUGAUAUAUAUUCGACCCUUACUUAUAUACUUUCCGUUUGGACUCUGUUUGAAGAUUGCUUUUCUUCAGUCUAUCUGUUAGUCAUAUUUUAUUUGAAUGUGGAAAUGCUGGGCACUGGCUUCAUAGGUUCAAACUCAUUCUUAGAUUUGAACAAUGAAGGAAUGAUAUUUUUUAUAUUGAAGUAUAGUUGAUUUACAAUGUUUUGGUAUACAGCAAACUGAUUCAUUUAUGUGUACAUAUAUAUAUGUGUGUGUGU